UCUGCCAUAUUUUUAUGUUUUUAUUUUGGAAAAUUUUAUUAUUUAUAUAAUUCGAUUUUUUUUUAAUUUUUGUUCGGUUUUGUUUUUGAUUUAUUUGUUUUUAAAUUUAAUUAUUGAUUUGUUACCAAUAAUUUAGUGUUUCUUGUUAUAAUAUUUCUAGGUUUGUUUCCAGCUAUUUUUUUCUAAAUUAAUAUUAUUAUUUUUUUCAAAAAUUAUUUCUCCUAAAUUUUGUGUUUAUUUGUUUUUUAUUAAUUUGUUUCAACUAAUU
This 268-nucleotide long non-coding RNA is filed under the name Salvia miltiorrhiza (redroot sage). RNAcentral describes it as "long non-coding RNA (SMIL_LNC003160)". The record is from RNAcentral. Lineage: Eukaryota; Viridiplantae; Streptophyta; Magnoliopsida; Lamiales; Lamiaceae.